AUGCCACAUCUGGGUGCCACCUUCUCUGCUGAGAAGCUCUUGAGGCCAGUGGGAUGGACUCCAAAACUGAGAAAGGAGGGAAGCAAGGAAAGGAGGGAUCUGCCUACAGAUGGAUUCAGAGCCUCAUCACUUCUCCCCGCGCCCCACGCGCUGCUACUGCCACCAUCUCUGCCUGGAUUGUUUACAUUGGGGUCCUGGAAUUCCUUUGUGGCACAGCAGGUUGAGGAUCCAGCAUUGUCACUGCAGCAGCCCAGGUUGCUGCUGUGGUGUGGGUUCGAUCUCUGGCCUGGGAACUUCCUAAUGCCAUCGGUGAGGCAAUUUAAAAAAAAAACACACACAAUUCGGCCCUGAAUGCGGCAGGCCAGCUCUACCACAGGACUUUUGUACCUGCUGCUCCCUUUGCCCUUCCACAAGUGUCCUCAUAUGUCAGCAUCUGUCUUUGCUCAAAUGUCCCUUCUCAACAAGGCUUGGCACUAAACUCAUUGUCUCCUCUUCCUAGGCACCCGUUUGGAGGAUGUUUCCAGCUCCUUUGCCAUUGAGCUGGUAGAGCAUGAGAAGAAGCAACCUGUGUCUCUUCUGAGCUGAGGAUGUUGAGAAGCAGAUGUGCCCCAUCCACCUCUCCGCCCCCUGCCUUGACCUCUUGCUCUAGAAGAUGGCACAGCCGCAGAUGGAAAGAGCCAGGGGGCCUCUCCACCCAGAGGCAGGCCACCUGCCAAUCAGAGCGC
RNAcentral lists this long non-coding RNA (725 nucleotides) under Sus scrofa (pig). RNAcentral describes it as "lncRNA (ENSSSCG00070002759.1)". Lineage: Eukaryota; Metazoa; Chordata; Mammalia; Artiodactyla; Suidae. The record is from RNAcentral.